This 1651-nucleotide long non-coding RNA is filed under the name Ricinus communis (castor bean). RNAcentral's name for it is "long non-coding RNA (RCOM_LNC001062)". Lineage: Eukaryota; Viridiplantae; Streptophyta; Magnoliopsida; Malpighiales; Euphorbiaceae. The record is from RNAcentral.
GGCAACAAUCUUCCUCAACAGCAUUCAACCUGUGCUCCAUGGUAAUUACAUGUAAAUUAGUACUUCAAUUAGUCAUUUUUCCUAAUAAACUAAUAAUUUUUCUUAAUAUUUGCAGGUGUAGCAGUUGGUGCUGGUUGGCAACUGUCUGUUGCCUUGAUUAAUAUUGCCUGUUACUACAUCGUGGGACUUCCUAUCGGCGCAGUGCUUGGCUACAAGUUUAAGCUUGGUGUUAAGGGCAUAUGGUCAGGAAUGUUGGCUGGUUGUGUGCUUCAAAUAGUCAUUCUAAUUUUCAUCAUGCUCCGAACCAACUGGAACAAAGAAGUAAGUCUUUGUUAUCACAAUGGAUAAUGAAUAUCAAAGAAAUCAAUGUAGAAACCAUUACAUACCAACUAUUUGCUAACAGGCAAUGAUUAGUUUACAGUGAUUUUAUUUCCUCUUUUGCGAGCAUCUUCAAUCAUUUUAGACCAGGAUUAACAGAAAUAUUUAUUAAUGCAGGCUGUGCAAUCUGAGGAGCGGAUGAGAACUUGGGGUGGCUCUCCUAAAACUCGACAAAGUCCAUCAGAGGCCAACAUAGAUGAGUGAUCAAUACAUUGUGGAAACAAACCUGAUAAAUACCAAUAUCAGGUUGUAGUUUAUUAGAUUUUUAUUAUAGCCAAAAGGGCUACCACAUUUUUUUGUUCACUUACUUAUACUUUACUGUUCAGUGCUGCUGAUCCUAAAUAUGAGUAUCCUAAUUUGCAACUAUAACUGAGAUUUUUACAUAUAUAAAUUUAGACAAUGAAUGAGCACAUAACGAAUGACGAUUCAUUUUUUGUGAGUACUAGCAUGAUUAUCUGGUAACAAAUUGACAUUCCGGAAAUGUUAUCCAAAUUUAAAAAUUAUUAAUUCCUGUAAUCUGCAAUGGUAGCUCCAAGUUACAAGCACCCAAUUCAACAGCACAUGAAAUGCAAGGGAUAACAUGAAAAUCAUCCAAAGCUGACAUAAUCAUGAUUUAAAGCUCACAACAAGCAUACGCACUUAAACACAUAGGAAGUCUUACGUUGUAGUAACAAGCAGUGACAGAAAGACUUAAAUUGUAGCAACAAGCAAAUAUUAAUCAAGGCAACGAGAUUGCCAGCUGCAGCAACUUCACCUGCAAUUGUCAAGAAAACAAAUCGAGAAUUAGAAAAAAAUGAUCAUUGAAGAGUUUAGUUGCUUACUUUGCACCGCAGGUUGGAUAUGCUGUUGAGGAUGAAUAUUGCUGCCAAGAAGUAAUCAAGUUUGAUGCCUCUUCAGCUUUUGAUGCUGUUGACCAAUGUUGUUUAUGGAAAAACAGUUUCCAUUACUGAGAAUUUUGUUGCCUUAGGAUUUCUGGAUCCAAGUUCAUUUGACACCUUCCAGCUGCAAGCAGGUUGAUGCAUACUUAAACCGAAAAACUGCAGCAAAUAUGAACUUAGCACAAAACAGAAAAUUUCCCCUCUUUUCCUUCGUUACCAAAGUGAAGUUUUCUUACAAGAACUUUUUCCAACUUUCUUCUUUUACUCCCACACUAGAACAUUACAUUUCUUUAUUGAUAGAUUUGAGGCAUUUAUAACCUACAAAACAUAACUGGAAAUUCCUAUACUUAAAGCGUCAUGCCUAAGCCAUACUUAACUUUUCUUAUACACAAAAG